CGAGAUCUUCGGAUCUAGCGGCGGACGGGUUAGUAACGCGUGGGAACGUACCCAAAGGUAGGGAAUAGCCACUGGAAACGGUGAGUAAUACCCUAUGUGCCCUUCGGGGGAGAGAUUUAUCGCCUUUGGAUCGGCCCGCGUUAGAUUAGAUAGUUGGUGGGGUAACGGCCUACCAAGUCUACGAUCUAUAGCUGGUUUUAGAGGAUGAUCAGCAACACUGGGACUGAGACACGGCCCAGACUCCUACGGGAGGCAGCAGUGGGGAAUCUUGGACAAUGGGGGCAACCCUGAUCCAGCCAUGCCGCAUGAGUGAUGAAGGCCCUAGGGUCGUAAAGCUCUUUCGCCUGUGAAGAUAAUGACUGUAGCAGGUAAAGAAACCCCGGCUAACUCCGUGCCAGCAGCCGCGGUAAUACGGAGGGGGUUAGCGUUGUUCGGAAUUACUGGGCGUAAAACGCGCGUAGGCGGACUGGAAAGUUGGGGGUGAAAUCCCAGGGCUCAACCCUGGAACUGCCUCCAAAACUAUCAGUCUAGAGUUCGAGAGAGGUGAGUGGAAUUCCGAGUGUAGAGGUGAAAUUCGUAGAUAUUCGGAGGAACACCAGUGGCGAAGGCGGCUCACUGGCUCGAUACUGACGCUGAGGUGCGAAAGUGUGGGGAGCAAACAGGAUUAGAUACCCUGGUAGUCCACACCGU
Molecule: ribosomal RNA, 690 nt
Filed under: uncultured Alphaproteobacteria bacterium
Lineage: Bacteria; Pseudomonadati; Pseudomonadota; Alphaproteobacteria
Description: bacterial SSU rRNA
Rfam family: Bacterial small subunit ribosomal RNA
Source: RNAcentral